UAUCUAAUUAUUAUAGCGAAUAUAAUUGAUCUCAUUCCGAACUCAAGUAAAUAUAUUUAGCGCUUAUGGUAGCAUUUAUUUGUGAGAGUAAGAAAUAAUUAGAUAA
Molecule: ribosomal RNA, 106 nt
Filed under: Candidatus Carsonella ruddii
Lineage: Bacteria; Pseudomonadati; Pseudomonadota; Gammaproteobacteria; Oceanospirillales; Halomonadaceae
Source: RNAcentral